UGCUGAUACCGAAUAAAACUUAGUGUCGCAUGACACAAAGUUAAAAGGCGCUUCGGCGUCACCUAGAGAUGGAUCCGCGGUGCAUUAGUUAGUUGGUGGGGUAAAGGCCUACCAAGACAAUGAUGCAUAGCCGAGUUGAGAGACUGAUCGGCCACAUUGGGACUGAGACACGGCCCAAACUCCUACGGGAGGCUGCAGUAGGGAAUCUUUCACAAUGGGCGAAAGCCUGAUGGAGCAACGCCGCGUGUGUGAUGAAGGCUUUCGGGUCGUAAAGCACUGUUGUAUGGGAAGAACAGCUAGAAUAGGAAAUGAUUUUAGUUUGACGGUACCAUACCAGAAAGGGACGGCUAAAUACGUGCCAGCAGCCGCGGUAAUACGUAUGUCCCGAGCGUUAUCCGGAUUUAUUGGGCGUAAAGCGAGCGCAGACGGUUUAUUAAGUCUGAUGUGAAAGCCCGGAGCUCAACUCCGGAAUGGCAUUGGAAACUGGUUAACUUGAGUGCAGUAGAGGUAAGUGGAACUCCAUGUGUAGCGGUGGAAUGCGUAGAUAUAUGGAAGAACACCAGUGGCGAAGGCGGCUUACUGGACUGCAACUGACGUUGAGGCUCGAAAGUGUGGGUAGCAAACAGGAUUAGAUACCCUGGUAGUCCACACCGUAAACGAUGAACAC
RNAcentral lists this ribosomal RNA (667 nucleotides) under uncultured bacterium. RNAcentral's name for it is "bacterial SSU rRNA". It matches the Rfam family "Bacterial small subunit ribosomal RNA", at positions 161 to 816 of the family's 1533-position model. The record is from RNAcentral.